Molecule: non-coding RNA, 72 nt
Organism: Phrynosoma platyrhinos (Desert horned lizard)
Lineage: Eukaryota; Metazoa; Chordata; Lepidosauria; Squamata; Phrynosomatidae
Source: the annotation of a GenBank genome assembly
GCCAGUAUGGCAUCAUGGUUUGAGUGUUGGACUACAACUCUGGAAACCAGGGUUCGAUUCCCAGCUCAGUCA